This 408-nucleotide ribosomal RNA is filed under the name uncultured bacterium. RNAcentral's name for it is "partial 16S ribosomal RNA". It matches the Rfam family "Bacterial small subunit ribosomal RNA", at positions 28 to 526 of the family's 1533-position model. The record is from RNAcentral.
GACUAACGCUGGCGGCGUGCUUAACACAUGCAAGUCGAACCAUGUUGCGAACGGGUGAGUAAUACGUGGGUAACCUGCCCUCCUUUUUGGGAUAAGCCUUGGAAACGGGGUCUAAUACCGAAUAAAGGGGGAUGGGCUCGCGGCCUAUCAGCUUGUUGGUGGGGUGAUGGCCUACCAAGGCGGUGACGGGUAGCCGGACUGAGAGGGUGACCGGGCACAUUGGGGCUGGGAUACGGCCCAGACUCCUACGGGAGGCAGCAGUGGGGGAUAGUGCACAAUGGGCGAAAGCCUGAUGCAGCUACGCCGCGUGGGGGAUGAAGGCUUUCGAGUUGUAAACCUAUUUCGCGAUAGAACGGGUAGGUGGAGAAGAAGCGCCGGCUAACUACGUGCCAGCAGCCGCGGUAAUAC